GCUAGGGGUGGUGACGCACAUUUGUAAUCCCAGCAACUUGGGAGACUGAGGCAGGAGAAUCACAAGUUUGAAGCCAGAAUGGGCAACUUAGUGAGACCCUGUCUCAA
RNAcentral lists this small RNA (107 nucleotides) under Marmota monax (woodchuck). Lineage: Eukaryota; Metazoa; Chordata; Mammalia; Rodentia; Sciuridae. The record is from RNAcentral.